CAACUGAAGUCGGUGUUUACU
This 21-nucleotide microRNA is filed under the name Oryza sativa (Asian cultivated rice). RNAcentral describes it as "osa-miR2092-5p". The record is from miRBase by way of RNAcentral. Lineage: Eukaryota; Viridiplantae; Streptophyta; Magnoliopsida; Poales; Poaceae.